Pelobates cultripes (western spadefoot toad) is the source of this 101-nucleotide non-coding RNA. The record is from the annotation of a GenBank genome assembly. NCBI's taxonomy places the organism in Eukaryota, Metazoa, Chordata, Amphibia, Anura, Pelobatidae.
UGGCACUCCAGAUGUUUUGACUACACCCCCCAUAAUGUUCUGACACCCAUAGCGCUGGCAAAGCAUCAUGGGAGGUGUAGUCCAAAACAUCUGGAGUGCCA